Molecule: long non-coding RNA, 2748 nt
Filed under: Oncorhynchus kisutch (coho salmon)
Lineage: Eukaryota; Metazoa; Chordata; Actinopteri; Salmoniformes; Salmonidae
Description: lncRNA (ENSOKIG00005027422.1)
Source: RNAcentral
AUGAGGGCUUCAUCAACAUUUGCAGAAUAUUCCUGUAAUAUUUUCACCUCUGUGUUUGUGGGACCACUUAGUGCUGGAAUGAAGUGUUUGUUUGUUACCAAUUCUAUCAGAAAUGAUGGUCCUCAUUUGAAGGUGUGGGUGGGUGUGUGUGUCGUGUGUCUGUGUGUCUGUGUGUCCAGUGUUUGUGUCAGUGUGUUUGUGUGUUCAUUCUGUGUGUGUGUGUGUGUGUGUCAGUAUGUGUCCAGUGUGUGUGUCCAAUGUGUGUGUCAGUGUGUGUGUGUGAGUCCAGAAUGUAUGUCCAGUGUGUGUCUGUGCAGUGUGUGUGUGUCCAGUGUGUGUGGGUGUGUGUAUGUGUGUGUGUGUGUGUCCAGUGUGUGUGUGUGUAUCAGUGUGUGUGUGAGAGUUCAGUAUGUGUGUGUGUCCAGUGUGUGUGUGUGUAUCAGUGUGUGUCCAGUGUUUGUGUGUCCAGAGUGUUUGUGUCCAGUGUGUGUGUGUCCAGUGUGUGUGUGUGUGUGUCAGUGUGUGUGUGUGUGUGUGUCCAGUGUGUGUGUGUAUCAGUGUGUGUGUUUGUGUAUCCAGUGUGUGUGUGUAUCAAUGUGUGUGUCUGAGAUCAGUAUGUGUGUGUGUCUAGUGUGUGUGUGUGUAUCGGUGUGUGUCCAGUGUGUGUGUGUGUGUGUGUCCAGUGUGUGUGUGUGUGUGUCAGUGUGUGUGUGUGUGUGUCCAGGUUGUGUUUAUAUCAGUGUGUGUGUCCAGUGUGUGUGUCCACUGUGUGUGUGUGUGUUUGUGUGUGUGUCCAGUGUGUGUGUGUCUCCUGUGUGUGUGUUUGUGUGUGUGUCCAGUGUGUGUGUGUGUGUUCUAUGUGUGUGUGUGUCUUGUGUGUAUAUCAGUGUGUGUGUGUGUGUGUGUGUGUGUAUCAAGUGUGUGUGUCCAGUGUUUAUGUGUCCAGUGUGUGUGUAUGUGUCCAGUGUGUGUGCGUGUGUGUCCAGUGUGUGUCUAUGUGUUCGGGUUGUGUGUGUGUCAUAUGUGUGUGUGACCAGUGUUUGUGUGACCAGUGUUUGUGUGUCCAGUUUGUGUGUGUUUGUGCGUGUUUGUCCAAUGUUAAGGUUAUUUUACCAUUACCUUAAACAAAUAAAUCGUGUGAAUUUCUAUAACAAUGUCCAAUGUGUGUGUGUGGUUGUGUGUGUGUGUGUGUGUCCUGUGUGUGUGUGUCCAAUGUUUGUGUGUGUCCAGUGUGUGUGUGUCUGUGUGUCUAGUGUUUGUGUGUGUGUUUUCAGUGUGUGUGCGUGUGUCCAGUGUUUGUGUGUCCAGUGUGUGUGUGUGUCCAAUGUGUGUGUGUGUGUGUGUCCAGUGUGUGUGUGUGUGUGUGUGGGGGGGGGGGGGGUGUCCAAUUUGUGUGUGUAUUUGUGUGUGUGUCCAAUGUGUGUGUGUGGUUGUGUGUGUGUGUGUGUGUCCUGUGUGUGUGUGUCCAGUGUUUGUGUGUGUGUGUGCCCAGUGUAUGUGUGCUUGUGUGUGCAUGUGUGUGUGUGUCCAGUGUGUGUGUGUCUGUGUGUCCAGUGUUUGUGUAUAUGUGUUUUCAGUGUGUCCAGUGUGGGUGUGGGUGUCCAAUGGGUGUGUGUGUGUGUCCAGUGUGUGUGUGUGUGUGUGUGUGUGUCCAGUUUGUGUAUGUAUUUGUGUGUGUCCAAUGUGUGUGUGUGUGGUUGUGUGUGUGUGUCUUGUGUGUAUGUGUGUGUGUGUGUGUGUGUGUGUGUCCAGUGUGUGUGUGUGUGUGUGUAUGUGUGUCCAGUUUGUGUGUGUAUUCGUGUGUGUGUCCAAUGUGUGUGUGUGGUUGUGUGUGUGUGUGUGUGUGUCCAAUGUGUGUGUCCAGUGUGUGUGUCCAGUGUUUGUGUGUGUGUGUCCAGUUUGUGUGUGUAUUUGUGUGUGUAUCCAGUUUGUGUGUGUGUGUGCCCAAUGUGUGUGUGUGUGUUCGUGUAUAUGUGUGCAAUGUGUGUGUGUGUGUGUGGUUGUGUGUGUCCAGUGUGUGUGUGUUCAUUGUGUGUGUGUGUGUCCAAUGGUUGUGUGUGUGUGUGUGUGUGUCCAAUGGUUGUGUGUGUGUGUGUGUGUGUGUGUGUGUGUGUGUGUGUGUGUGUGUCCAGUGUGUGUGUGUGUGUGUGUGUGUGUCCAGUUUGUGUAUGUAUUUGUGUGUGUGUCCAAUGUGUGUGUGUGGUUGUGUGUGUGUGUGUGUGUGUGUGUGUGUGUGUCCAGUGUGUGUGUGUGUAUGUGUGUCCAGUUUGUGUGUGUAUUUGUGUGUUUGUCCAAUGUGUGUGUGUGGUUGUGUGUGUGUUUUCAGAGUGUGUGUGUGUGUGUGUGUCCAAUGUGUGUGUCCAGUGUGUGUGUGUGUGUGUGUGUGUGUGUGUGUGUCCAAUGUGUGUGUCCAGUGUGUGUGUGUCCAGUGUUUGUGUGUGUGUGUCCAGUUUGUGUGUGUAUUUGUGUGUGUUCCAGUUUGUGUGCGUGUGUGCCCAGUGUGUAUGUGUGUGCCCAAUGUGUGUGUGUGUUCGUGUAUAUGUGUGCAAUGUGUGUGUGUGUGUGUGCGUGUGUGUGUGUGUGGUUGUGUGUGUCCAGUGUGUGUGUGUUCAUUGUGUGUGUGUGUGUCCAAUGGUUGUGUGUGUGUGUGUUUCCAGGGUAUGUGUGUGUAUGUGUGUGUGUGUCCAGUGUGUGUGUGUGUGUGUCCAGUGUGUUUUCAGUGUGCGUGUGUGUUGGAGGAAAUUAUAG